Long non-coding RNA from Oncorhynchus tshawytscha (Chinook salmon), 290 nucleotides. NCBI's taxonomy places the organism in Eukaryota, Metazoa, Chordata, Actinopteri, Salmoniformes, Salmonidae. The record is from Ensembl.
ACACGACCCAAACACGACCCAAACACGACCCAAACACGAGGCAAACACGACCCAAACACGACCCAAACACGACCCAAACACGAGGCAAACACGACGCAAACACGACCCAAACACGAGGCAAACACGACCCAAACACGACCCAAACACGACCCAAACACGAGGCAAACACGACCCAAACACGACCCAAACACGGGGGAAACGGGGGAAACGGUAUCAGAAGGAGGCUAAAGAGAAGUGCUGACUCUUAUUGACUUCUCCGUGCUUCUACACCUGCAUUGCUUGCUGUUUGG